This 497-nucleotide ribosomal RNA is filed under the name uncultured bacterium. Its description in RNAcentral is "partial 16S ribosomal RNA". It matches the Rfam family "Bacterial small subunit ribosomal RNA", at positions 28 to 507 of the family's 1533-position model. The record is from RNAcentral.
GAUGAACGCUGGCGGCGUGCCUAAUACAUGCAAGUCGAGCGAACGGACGAGGAGCUUGCUUCUCUGAUGUUAGCGGCGGACGGGUGAGUAACACGUGGAUAACCUACCUAUAAGACUGGGAUAACUUCGGGAAACCGGAGCUAAUACCGGAUAAUAUUUUGAACCGCAUGGUUCAAAAGUGAAAGACGGUCUUGCUGUCACUUAUAGAUGGAUCCGCGCUGCAUUAGCUAGUUGGUAAGGUAACGGCUCACCAAGGCAACGAUGCAUAGCUGACCUGAGAGGGUGAUCGGCCACACUGGAACUGAGACACGGUCCAGACUCCUACGGGAGGCAGCAGUAGGGAAUCUUCCGCAAUGGGCGAAAGCCUGACGGAGCAACGCCGCGUGAGUGAUGAAGGUCUUCGGAUCGUAAAACUCUGUUAUUAGGGAAGAACAUAUGUGUAAGUAACUGUGCACAUCUUGACGGUACCUAAUCAGAAAGCCACGGCUAACUACGUG